GCCGAAGUGGUGGAACUGGUAGACACGCUGUCUUGAGGGGGCAGUGGGCCUAGCCCGUGCCGGUUCGAGUCCGGCCUUCGGCACAA
RNAcentral lists this transfer RNA (86 nucleotides) under Deltaproteobacteria bacterium. RNAcentral's name for it is "tRNA-Leu". It matches the Rfam family "tRNA". Rfam says of the family: Transfer RNA (tRNA) molecules are approximately 80 nucleotides in length. Lineage: Bacteria; Pseudomonadati; Myxococcota; Myxococcia. The record is from RNAcentral.